AGCAGCCGCGGUAAUUCCAGCUCCAAUAGCGUAUAUUAAAGUUGCUGCAGUUAAAAAGCUCGUAGUUGAAUUUCGGGACUAAUAUGUCGGUCGUGCCUCGGUACGUACUGGCUUAUUGGUUUCUCCUUUCUGAAGAACCAUGAUGUCAUUUAUUUGGUGUCGUGGGGAAUCAGGACUGUUACUUUGAAAAAAUUAGAGUGUUUAAAGCAGGCUCACGCUUGAAUACAUUAGCAUGGAAUAAUGAAAUAGGACGUUUGAUUCUAUUUUGUUGGUUUCUAGGAUCGACGUAAUGAUUAAUAGGGAUAGUUGGGGGCAUUAGUAUUCAAUUGUCAGAGGUGAAAUUCUUGGAUUUAUUGAAGACUAACUACUGCGAAAGCAUUUGCCAAGGAUGUUUUCAUUAAUCAAGAACGAAAGUUAGGGGAUCGAAGACGAUCAGAUACCGUCGUAGUCUUAACCAUAAACUAUGCCGACUAGGGAUCGGAUGAUGUUAAUUUUUUAAUGACUCAUUCGGCGCCUUAUG
RNAcentral lists this unclassified non-coding RNA (520 nucleotides) under uncultured Glomus. Its description in RNAcentral is "SSU rRNA". It matches the Rfam family "Eukaryotic small subunit ribosomal RNA", at positions 569 to 1092 of the family's 1831-position model. The record is from RNAcentral. Lineage: Eukaryota; Fungi; Glomeromycota; Glomeromycetes; Glomerales; Glomeraceae.